UGCGCAGAUUAUUUGUUUACCACUUAGAA
RNAcentral lists this non-coding RNA (29 nucleotides) under Mus musculus (house mouse). Lineage: Eukaryota; Metazoa; Chordata; Mammalia; Rodentia; Muridae. The record is from RNAcentral.